This 754-nucleotide ribosomal RNA is filed under the name uncultured archaeon. Its description in RNAcentral is "bacterial SSU rRNA". It matches the Rfam family "Archaeal small subunit ribosomal RNA", at positions 102 to 859 of the family's 1478-position model. The record is from RNAcentral.
AGUCAACAUGCCCAGGGGACGUGGAUAACCUCGGGAAACUGAGGAUAAACCACGAUAGGUCAUAAUGUCUGGAAUGAUUCAUGGCUAAAAUCUACAUGGCCCCUGGAUUGGACUGCGGCCGAUCAGGCUGUUGGUGAGGUAAUGGCCCACCAAACCUAAAACCGGUACGGGCUCUGAGAGGAGAAGCCCGGAGAUGGGCACUGAGACAAGGGCCCAGGCCCUAUGGGGCGCAGCAGGCGCGAAAACUCUGCAAUAAGCGAAAGCUUGACAGGGUUAUUCUGAGUGACUUCCGCUAAGGAAAUCUUUUGGCACCUCCAAAAAUGGUGCAGAAUAAGGGGUGGGCAAGCCUGGUGUCAGCCGCCGCGGUAAUACCAGCACCCCGAGUGGUCGGGACGAUUAUUGGGCCUAAAGCAUCCGUAGCCGGUUCUACAAGUCUUCCGUUAAAUCCAUCUGCUUAACAGAUGGGCUGCGGAGGAUACUAUGGAGCUAGGAGGCGGGAGAGGCAAGCGGUACUUAGUGGGUAGGGGUAAAAUCCGUUGAUCCACUGAAGACCACCAGUGGCGAAGGCGGCUUGCCAGAACGCGCUCGACGGUGAGGGAUGAAAGCUGGGGGAGCAAACCGGAUUAGAUACCCGGGUAGUCCCAGCUGUAAACGAUGCAGACUCGGUGAUGAACAGGCUUCGUGCCUUUUCAGUGCCGCAGGGAAGCCGUUAAGUCUGCCGCCUGGGGAGUACGGUCGCAAGACUGAAACUUAA